This 447-nucleotide ribosomal RNA is filed under the name uncultured bacterium. Its description in RNAcentral is "bacterial SSU rRNA". It matches the Rfam family "Bacterial small subunit ribosomal RNA", at positions 227 to 695 of the family's 1533-position model. The record is from RNAcentral.
GGGCUCGCGGCCGAUUAGCUUGUUGGUGGGGUAACGGCCUACCAAGGCGAUGAUCGGUAGCUGGUUUGAGAGAAUGGUCAGCCACACUGGGAUUGAGAUACGGCCCAGACUCCUACGGGAGGCAGCAGUCUAGAAGCUUCGGCAAUGGGGGCAACCCUGACCGAGCGACGCCGCGUGCGGGAUGAAGGCCUUCGGGUUGUAAACCGCUUUCGACAGGGAAGUUGACGGUACCUGGAAAGAAGCCUCGGCUAACUCCGUGCCAGCAGCCGCGGUAAUACGGGGGAGGCAAGCGUUAAUCGGAUUCAUUGGGCGUAAAGGGCGUGUAGGCGGUUCCUUAAGUCGGGUGUUAAAGACCACGGCUCACCCGUGGGCCUGCGCCCGAUACUGAGGGACUGGAGUGCAGGAGAGGCGAGCGGAAUUCCCGGUGUAUCGGUGAAAUGCGUAGAU